Molecule: ribosomal RNA, 782 nt
Filed under: Halomonas sp. DBQ_4M
Lineage: Bacteria; Pseudomonadati; Pseudomonadota; Gammaproteobacteria; Oceanospirillales; Halomonadaceae
Description: bacterial SSU rRNA
Rfam family: Bacterial small subunit ribosomal RNA
Source: RNAcentral
GGAAGGUAGAAUUCCCCGGUGUAGCGGUGAAAUGCGUAGAGAUCGGGAGGAAUACCAGUGGCGAAGGCGGCCUUCUGGACUGACACUGACGCUGAGGUGCGAAAGCGUGGGUAGCAAACAGGAUUAGAUACCCUGGUAGUCCACGCCGUAAACGAUGUCGACUAGCCGUUGGGGUCCUCGAGACCUUUGUGGCGCAGUUAACGCGAUAAGUCGACCGCCUGGGGAGUACGGCCGCAAGGUUAAAACUCAAAUGAAUUGACGGGGGCCCGCACAAGCGGUGGAGCAUGUGGUUUAAUUCGAUGCAACGCGAAGAACCUUACCUACUCUUGACAUCGAGCGAACUUUCCAGAGAUGGAUUGGUGCCUUCGGGAACGCUCAGACAGGUGCUGCAUGGCCGUCGUCAGCUCGUGUUGUGAAAUGUUGGGUUAAGUCCCGUAACGAGCGCAACCCUUGUCCCUAUUUGCCAGCGAUUCGGUCGGGAACUCUAGGGAGACUGCCGGUGACAAACCGGAGGAAGGUGGGGACGACGUCAGGUCAUCAUGGCCCUUACGAGUAGGGCUACACACGUGCUACAAUGGCCGGUACAAUGGGCUGCAAUCCCGCGAGGGGGAGCUAAUCUCAUAAAGCCGGUCUCAGUCCGGAUCGGAGUCUGCAACUCGACUCCGUGAAGUCGGAAUCGCUAGUAAUCGUGCAUCAGAAUGGCACGGUGAAUACGUUCCCGGGCCUUGUACACACCGCCCGUCACACCAUGGGAGUGGACUGCACCAGAAGUGGUUAGCCUA